UGAGCCCAGAAAGCUUGAAGUUGAAACUUUUCAGGCAGCAUUUGUCAGAGUGGGAAGGACUCGAGAACUCCUUCAAGGUGAAUUUAACAACCAGACUGAGGGACUCUGCUAAUUCACUUUAUUCUGGUCUCAUCCCUGAUGGAAAGGACAAGAGUUGACAAUGAGGACAGCUGCUUGUUUGAAGAAAAAAUACACUUAGAUAACAGGAUGGAUCUGGGGCUCAGCAGAGGUGCUGAAGCUUCUCACAGGUGGGUUUUCAGGCACAGUUUCCAAAUCCCCCAAAAGCUAAAGAUUAAUGUUCAU
This 303-nucleotide long non-coding RNA is filed under the name Parus major (Great Tit). RNAcentral describes it as "lncRNA (ENSPMJG00000000264.1)". The record is from RNAcentral. Lineage: Eukaryota; Metazoa; Chordata; Aves; Passeriformes; Paridae.